Non-coding RNA from Salmonella enterica subsp. enterica serovar Newport, 213 nucleotides. Lineage: Bacteria; Pseudomonadati; Pseudomonadota; Gammaproteobacteria; Enterobacterales; Enterobacteriaceae. The record is from Rfam.
GAAGUUUUAGGUUGGCGCCGUUUGGUCGCCACGGCACACGAAACAGCGUUGGUUAUAGACAACCUUCUUUCCGCUGCAGCGAUGCGGCAGGACAGAUGACGUGUAUCAGGUCUGUUUCGUGUGCUGGAUUGUUGACGCAUUCAUUUAUUGGUAUCGCAUGAACCCCCAUCGUAAUUAAUCGGCUUCAACGGAAGCUGGGCUACACGUUUUAAU